Chrysemys picta bellii (western painted turtle) is the source of this 1284-nucleotide long non-coding RNA. RefSeq lists it as uncharacterized. Lineage: Eukaryota; Metazoa; Chordata; Testudines; Emydidae. The record is from RefSeq and is a predicted model, not a curated record.
UUAGGCAAAUAUCUAGAGGAGUUGACAUACCCCCGGAAGACCUCGGAGUACCCCAGGGUUGAGAACCACUGGCCUAAGGAUCCCAGAUGAGAUUUGAGCUCCAUCGUGCUGGGUGCUGUACAGACACAUAGCAAGAGAUAGACCCUUCCCCCCAAAACAGCAGUCUAAAUAGAGAACACGAACAAAGGUGGGGGAGGGGAAACUGAGGCCCAGAGAGGGGAUGUGACUUGCCCAAGGUCAAACAGCAGAUUGGUGGCAAAGCUGGAAUGGAACCCAGCUCUCCUGACUAGUGCCCUAUUUGCUGCCUUUCAUUAAUGAUGAAUUACUUUUUAUUUAUUUAUUUAUUUGGGUUCAUUUCCAGCCUGCAAAUAUGCCAUUGCAAACACAUUGCAUUGCUCCCUGUCUCUGCUGUACUAAUGCUGGAGCACAGAGAGCCUCAGCAAGGUUAAUUAAUUUGAGCGAAGGCUGAAGCCUAAAAGACGGGGAGCAACACACAGAGAUGAUGGCUGGCAAAAAUCAUUAGAAGCAUCUUUCAACAAUCUAUAUACUGUUAUCGAUCCUGUUAUAGAUCAUGUUCCUUUCCCCCUUUUUUUUUUGCAGGAUAUUCUGGAUCGAUAUGGCAAGUGCAUUGAGACUGCAGCAACACAUUUAAAACCUUAUAAAAGGUUAUUUAGUUGCUAACAGUGCAGCAGUUUCUGCAAAGCCUGCCAAAAGGUUACAGCUUUUUGGGCAUCAUAAAUUACAGACGACAGGGGAAAAAAAUGGACAAUGACUAGUAUCUAAUUAGGCCCGUGCCAACCCUGCAAGACAUGGUUCAUACAGGUGUCGGGGAGCAGAGCCCUGCACAGCUUGGAAUCAAAUCAAAGCAUCCUCUGCUGGCUCCCUUGCCAGUCCAAAUCUGGUACUUAUCCAGCACACUUCACUGAAGUGUUUGAGACACUCAUAAACAAUAGCAUGGCUGGAUCUGUCCUCACAGCUACACUGUGAAAGGAAGAGGCGUCAUUAUUCCUGUUUUAGAGAGGAAAAACUGAGGUGCAUAGAAGCAGGACCACGCCGUUUCCCUGACCCCACCUGCUGAGUGCCUCUGUAUCCACCGCAGAAUCUCUUUGUAAAGCUCACCUCCUUGGGAAAUCCCUCCUCCCGUUGUCUCCUCCUCAGAGCCUUCCCCGGCUGAAUCGUGCUGGGCCUGCCCCGACUACGAGCCUGCCUACCUGAGGGAGAUUUGCACCAGCGCGUAGCUUGCUUUGGUAGGUUCCUGGUGUAAGUCCCAUGAGCGCGGGCCCU